RNAcentral lists this unclassified non-coding RNA (86 nucleotides) under Pseudomonas migulae. The record is from RNAcentral. Lineage: Bacteria; Pseudomonadati; Pseudomonadota; Gammaproteobacteria; Pseudomonadales; Pseudomonadaceae.
GCAGGAGCCGGCUUGCUGGCGAUCGCAUCACCGCGGUGUUCCUGAAAAACCGAGGCUUACUCAAUCGCCAGCAAGCCGGCUCCUAC